AACGAACGCUGGCGGCAUGCCUAACACAUGCCAGUCGAACGAGACCUUCGGGUCUAGUGGCGCACGGGUGCGUAACGCGUGGGAACCUGCCCUUAGGUUCGGAAUAACUCCCCGAAAGGGGUGCUAAUACCGGAUAAUGUCUUCGGACCAAAGAUUUAUCGCCUUUGGAUGGGCCCGCGUUGGAUUAGCUAGUUGGUAGGGUAAAAGCCUACCAAGGCGACGAUCCAUAGCUGGUCCGAGAGGAUGAUCAGCCACACUGGGACUGAGACACGGCCCAGACUCCUACGGGAGGCAGCAGUGGGGAAUAUUGGACAAUGGGCGAAAGCCUGAUCCAGCAAUGCCGCGUGAGUGAUGAAGGCCUUAGGGUUGUAAAGCUCUUUUACCCGGGAUGAUAAUGACAGUACCGGGAGAAUAAGCUCCGGCUAACUCCGUG
Molecule: ribosomal RNA, 433 nt
Filed under: uncultured bacterium
Lineage: Bacteria
Description: partial 16S ribosomal RNA
Rfam family: Bacterial small subunit ribosomal RNA
Source: RNAcentral